AUACGGAGGGGACAAGCGUUAUUCGGAAUCACUGGGCGUAAAGGACGCGUAGGCGGGUUAUUAAGUCGGGUGUGAAAUCCAAUGGCUCAACCAUUGAACUGCAUUCGAAACUGAUAACCUAGAGUAUGGAAGGGGCAGGUGGAAUUAGUGGUGUAGGGGUAAAAUCCGUAGAUAUCACUAGGAGUACCGAAAGCGAAGGCGACCUGCCGGGACAUUACUGACGCUGAGGCGUGAAAGCGUGGGGAGCAAACAGGAUUAGAAACCCGGGUAGUCC
Molecule: ribosomal RNA, 274 nt
Filed under: uncultured bacterium
Lineage: Bacteria
Description: partial 16S ribosomal RNA
Rfam family: Bacterial small subunit ribosomal RNA
Source: RNAcentral